This 395-nucleotide ribosomal RNA is filed under the name uncultured organism. RNAcentral describes it as "bacterial SSU rRNA". It matches the Rfam family "Bacterial small subunit ribosomal RNA", at positions 45 to 433 of the family's 1533-position model. The record is from RNAcentral.
UGCCUAACACAUGCAAGUCGAACGGCAGCAUGAUGUGUAGCAAUACACAUUGAUGGCGAGUGGCGGACGGGUGAGUAAUGCAUAGGAAUCUGCCGAGGUGAGGGGGAUAACUGAGGGAAGCUUCAGCUAAGACCACAUGAAGUCUACGGACCAAAACAGUGGGACCUUCGGGCCACUGGCACUUUGAUGAGCCUAUGCCGGAUUAGCUAGUUGGUAGGGUAAAAGCCUACCAAGGCGAAGAUCCGUAGCUGGUCUGAGAGGAUGAUCAGCCACACUGGGACUGAGACACGGCCCAGACUCCUACGGGAGGCAGCAGUGGGGAAUAUUGGACAAUGGGGGCAACCCUGAUCCAGCAAUGCCGCGUGAGUGAAGAAGGCCUUCGGGUUGUAAAGCUC